Gossypium arboreum is the source of this 807-nucleotide long non-coding RNA. RefSeq lists it as uncharacterized. Lineage: Eukaryota; Viridiplantae; Streptophyta; Magnoliopsida; Malvales; Malvaceae. The record is from RefSeq and is a predicted model, not a curated record. The transcript has 3 exons.
GCCAACCAACAAAAUAACCUAGAUACAAAAAUAAAACAGAAAAAUAGAUAAAAAAAAAUCGUAGUUUGAUCAUUAUUCAUUUCGACGGUUCAAGUCCCUAGGAAACAAUUUCCAAAAACCAUUAAACCAUCAUAUGUUUCCUCUUUCUUUUCCCAACUCGAGAUGCAUCCAACAGUCAAGCUUCAAUUUGGUUCUCUUCCCUUUCGCGAUCCAACCUUCGAUGCGUCGUGCUCAAGCAGUCCUCCAAUAAGUGACGUCAGGUUAGCUCGGGGUUGGAAAUCGUCGGAGGCAGCAUACACUAUCAAGCCAACACCUUGAGAGUAUAAACAAAUAUGCUAGAAUUAUCAAAUUAUCAGAAGCUCGAUUUGGUUGGAAGCUCAUCGAAGAUCUAUCACACUAUCCAAAAAUCUUUUCAGUAGUUUUUGAGUAUUUUGGCCAAGGAUUAUAAUGGCAUGUAUAACAGGGGUUGCACGGGUGAGGACGUAGACUGGGACAGACCGUAUGUCCCUAGUUCGAAGGUUACACUAGAGUCACACGGGUGAGGACAUAGACUGGGACAGACCGUAUGUCCCUAGUUCGAAGGUUACACUGCCUGAGACACGGCCAUGUGUCUCAACCAUGUGAGACACACGAUCGUGUGACCCCUAUUUUGCAAAUUUUGCAUCUUUUUCCUAAACUUUCCAAAUUGUUUCAAAUUGGUCCCAAAUUAUUUCUAAGUUAUUUUUACGGCCCCAAGGCUCGAUUUAGGGACAAUAUGGAUGUGUAUGAAUGAUUUAUGAUGUGAUUAUAAUAUUGAAUGAUAUAAUA